CACUAUCUAACUCAGUGGGUAAAGAAUCUGCCUGCAAUGCAGGAGAUCCAGGUUUGAUCCCUGGGUUGGGAA
RNAcentral lists this transfer RNA (72 nucleotides) under Bos taurus (domestic cattle). It matches the Rfam family "tRNA". Rfam says of the family: Transfer RNA (tRNA) molecules are approximately 80 nucleotides in length. The record is from Rfam by way of RNAcentral. RNAcentral also lists the same sequence under 2 other names. Lineage: Eukaryota; Metazoa; Chordata; Mammalia; Artiodactyla; Bovidae.